Phoenix dactylifera (date palm) is the source of this 651-nucleotide non-coding RNA. The record is from RefSeq and is a predicted model, not a curated record. NCBI's taxonomy places the organism in Eukaryota, Viridiplantae, Streptophyta, Magnoliopsida, Arecales, Arecaceae.
CUCUACUGGGUAUCACACAACCUUCAGUGAUUCUCUCAAUUCUGCUCGAAAUAUUCAAUAAAAAUUUGGCUGUAAUAUUAAUGGAAAAAAUGGAUGUUGGUAUGUUGUUAAAUAUCUAGUUUUACAAAUAUUCUCAACACUUGUAGGUUGGCAGUGGUGGCGCUUGUUGCACCGGCUGUCAACCACUGGUGGCCUUCUUUUCCUACCAACCUGGUAAAAAAGGCCUAUAAGAAGUUGUUGGUGCAGGACCAAAGGACAUUCUGGAUUGCACACCAUGUCCCUUUCCCUUCUGUAUGGGUGGAUGUCCCAGAAGUGGUUCCCUGCUUCAGCUGCUGUUGAGGGGCAUCCUGAUCUAUUUUCCCCACAGGAUAAGGAGAUCAUGCGGGAGAGGUUUUCAUGUAAUGAAUCAAUUGGAGCUGAAACCUGCAAGCCUUGGCUAAACCUAAAGGAUUCAACGAAGGAAAAAGAUGAUCCUGGGAUGCCACUCGACGCUACUAAUCGCAAAUACCACUCGAUGUGACUAAGCUACACACUUGAUUGGGAGGAGGAUGCUACUCAACUCACAAAAGCAAGAAAGGCUUGUUGGAAAGGAAUUCUGAAAAUAACAACUCUCUGUUUUUCAUUUCAUUCAUGUACCAGUUUUAUAUGCUA